AGCGCAGGCGGACCGGCAAGUUGGAAGUGAAAACUAUGGGCUCAACCCAUAAAUUGCUUUCAAAACUGCUGGCCUUGAGUAGUGCAGAGGUAGGUGGAAUUCCCGGUGUAGCGGUGGAAUGCGUAGAUAUCGGGAGGAACACCAGUGGCGAAGGCGACCUACUGGGUACCAACUGACGCUGAGGCUCGAAAGCAUGGGUAGCAAACA
RNAcentral lists this ribosomal RNA (207 nucleotides) under uncultured bacterium. Its description in RNAcentral is "partial 16S ribosomal RNA". It matches the Rfam family "Bacterial small subunit ribosomal RNA", at positions 568 to 774 of the family's 1533-position model. The record is from RNAcentral.